RNAcentral lists this ribosomal RNA (561 nucleotides) under uncultured bacterium. Its description in RNAcentral is "bacterial SSU rRNA". It matches the Rfam family "Bacterial small subunit ribosomal RNA", at positions 338 to 915 of the family's 1533-position model. The record is from RNAcentral.
CCUACGGGAGGCAGCAGUGGGGAAUCUUGCGCAAUGGGCGAAAGCCUGACGCAGCAACGCCGCGUGCGGGAAGAAGGCUUUCGGGCUGUAAACCGCUUUCAGCAGGAACGAAAAUGACGGUACCUGCAGAAGAAGGAGCGGCCAACUAUGUGCCAGCAGCCGCGGUGAUACAUAGGCUUCAAGCGUUGUCCGGAUUUAUUGGGCGUAAAGAGUUCGUAGGCGGUCGAGUAAGUCGGGUGUGAAAAUUCUGGGCUCAACCCAGAGACGCCACCCGAUACUGCUUGACUUGAGUUCGAUAGGGGAGUGGGGAAUUCCUAGUGUAGCGGUGAAAUGCGCAGAUAUUAGGAGGAACACCGGUGGCGAAGGCGCCACUCUGGAUCGAUACUGACGCUGAGGAACGAAAGCAUGGGUAGCAAACAGGAUUAGAUACCCUGGUAGUCCAUGCCGUAAACGGUGGGCACUAGGUGUGGGUUUCUAUUAACGAAAUCCGCGCCGUCGCUAACGCAUUAAGUGCCCCGCCUGGGGAGUACGGUCGCAAGACUAAAACUCAAAUNAUAGACG